This 492-nucleotide ribosomal RNA is filed under the name uncultured bacterium. RNAcentral's name for it is "partial 16S ribosomal RNA". It matches the Rfam family "Bacterial small subunit ribosomal RNA", at positions 29 to 507 of the family's 1533-position model. The record is from RNAcentral.
AUUGAACGCUGGCGGCAUGCUUUACACAUGCAAGUCGAACGGUAACAGGCCUUCGGGUGCUGACGAGUGGCGAACGGGGGAGUAAUGCAUCGGAACGUACCCAGAGGUGGGGGAUAACGCAGCGAAAGCUGUGCUAAUACCGCAUGUGAUCUGAGGAUGAAAGCGGGGGACCGAGCAGCAAUGUUUGGCCUCGCGCCUUUGGAGCGGCCGAUGUCGGAGUAGCUAGUUGGUGGGGUAAAGGCCUACCAAGGCGACGAUCCGUAGCUGGUCUGAGAGGACGACCAGCCACACUGGGACUGAGACACGGCCCAGACUCCUACGGGAGGCAGCAAUGGGGAAUUUUGGACAAUGGGCGCAAGCCUGAUCCAGCAAUGCCGCGUGCGGGAAGAAGGCCUUCGGGUUGUAAACCGCUUUUGGCAGGAACGAAACGGUGUCCGCUAAUACCGGGCGCUAAUGACGGUACCUGCAGAAUAAGCACCGGCUAACUACGUG